GCCUUCCUGAGGAGUCCCAUAAUAGGACGAAACGGCUGUCCAAUGAAAAU
Non-coding RNA from Schistosoma mansoni, 50 nucleotides. NCBI's taxonomy places the organism in Eukaryota, Metazoa, Platyhelminthes, Trematoda, Strigeidida, Schistosomatidae. The record is from Rfam.